Molecule: microRNA, 25 nt
Filed under: Canis lupus familiaris (dog)
Lineage: Eukaryota; Metazoa; Chordata; Mammalia; Carnivora; Canidae
Description: cfa-miR-8860
Source: miRBase by way of RNAcentral
UACACUAGGUUUGGAGGAAAGUGGG